RNAcentral lists this ribosomal RNA (796 nucleotides) under uncultured Methanosarcinaceae archaeon. RNAcentral describes it as "bacterial SSU rRNA". It matches the Rfam family "Archaeal small subunit ribosomal RNA", at positions 85 to 879 of the family's 1478-position model. Lineage: Archaea; Methanobacteriati; Methanobacteriota; Methanomicrobia; Methanosarcinales; Methanosarcinaceae. The record is from RNAcentral.
ACGGCUCAGUAACACGUGGAUAACCUGCCCUUGGGACCGGCAUAACCCCGGGAAACUGGGGAUAAUUCCGGAUAACGCAUAUAUGCUGGAAUGCUUUAUGCGUGAAAUGGAUUCGUCUGCCCAAGGAUGGGUCUGCGGCCUAUCAGGUAGUAGUGGGUGUAAUGGACCUACUAGCCUACAACGGGUACGGGUUGUGAGAGCAAGAGCCCGGAGAUGGAUUCUGAGACAUGAAUCCAGGCCCUACGGGGCGCAGCAGGCGCGAAAACUUUACAAUGCGGGAAACCGUGAUAAGGGGACACCGAGUGCCAGCAUCAUAUGCUGGCUGUCCAGGUGUGUAAAAUACACCUGUUAGCAAGGGCCGGGCAAGACCGGUGCCAGCCGCCGCGGUAACACCGGCGGCCCGAGUGGUGAUCGUGAUUAUUGGGUCUAAAGGGUCCGUAGCCGGUUUGGUCAGUCCUCCGGGAAAUCUGACAGCUCAACUGUUAGGCUUUCGGGGGAUACUGCCAGACUUGGAACCGGGAGAGGUAAGAGGUACUACAGGGGUAGGAGUGAAAUCUUGUAAUCCCUGUGGGACCACCUGUGGCGAAGGCGUCUUACCAGAACGGGUUCGACGGUGAGGGACGAAAGCUGGGGGCACGAACCGGAUUAGAUACCCGGGUAGUCCCAGCCGUAAACGAUGCUCGCUAGGUGUCAGGCAUGGCGCGACCGUGUCUGGUGCCGCAGGGAAGCCGUGAAGCGAGCCACCUGGGAAGUACGGCCGCAAGGCUGAAACUUAAAGGAAUUGGCGGGGGAGCAC